UACGUAGGGGGCAAGCGUUGUCCGGAAUCAUUGGGCGUAAAGCGCGUGUAGGCGGCUCGGUAAGUCUGCUGUGAAAGUCCAGGGCUCAACCCUGGGAUGCCGGUGGAUACUGUGAGGCUAGAGUACGGAAGAGGCGAGUGGAAUUCCUGGUGUAGCGGUGGAAUGCGCAGAUAUCAGGAGGAACACCAAUAGCGAAGGCAGCUCGCUGGGACGGUACUGACGCUGAGGCGCGAAAGCGUGGGGAGCGAACAGG
This 253-nucleotide ribosomal RNA is filed under the name uncultured bacterium. RNAcentral's name for it is "partial 16S ribosomal RNA". It matches the Rfam family "Bacterial small subunit ribosomal RNA", at positions 524 to 776 of the family's 1533-position model. The record is from RNAcentral.